UGGGGUAGGUGGGCAUCUG
This 19-nucleotide unclassified non-coding RNA is filed under the name Mus musculus (house mouse). RNAcentral's name for it is "oocyte_clustered_small_RNA9202". Lineage: Eukaryota; Metazoa; Chordata; Mammalia; Rodentia; Muridae. The record is from RNAcentral.